UGGGGAAUAUUGCACAAUGGGCGAAAGCCUGAUGCAGCAACGCCGCGUGAGUGAUGAAGGCCUUCGGGUUGUAAAGCUCUGUCUUUUGGGACGAUAAUGACGGUACCAAAGGAGGAAGCCACGGCUAACUACGUGCCAGCAGCCGCGGUAAUACGUAGGUGGCAAGCGUUGUCCGGAUUUACUGGGCGUAAAGGAUGCGUAGGCGGAUUUUUAAGUGAGAUGUGAAAACCCUAAGCUUAACUUGGGGACUGCAUUUCAUACUGGAAAUCUAGAGUGCGGGAGAGGAGAAUGGAAUUCCUAGUGUAGCGGUGAAAUGCGUAGAGAUUAGGAAGAACACCAGUGGCGAAGGCGAUUCUCUGGACCGUAACUGACGCUGAGGCAUGAAAGCGUGGGUAGCAAACAGGAUUAGAUACCCUGGUAGUCCACGCCGUAAACGAUGAGUACUAGGUGUAGGAGGUAUCGACCCCUUCUGUGCCGCAGUUAACACAAUAAGUACUCCGCCUGGGAAGUACGAUCGCAAGAUUAAAACUCAAAGAAUUGACGGGGUCAUAGCUG
Molecule: ribosomal RNA, 555 nt
Filed under: uncultured bacterium
Lineage: Bacteria
Description: partial 16S ribosomal RNA
Rfam family: Bacterial small subunit ribosomal RNA
Source: RNAcentral